AGUGAACGCUGGCGGUAGGCCUAACACAUGCAAGUCGAACGGCAGCACAGUAAGAGCUUGCUCUUACGGGUGGCGAGUGGCGGACGGGUGAGGAAUACAUCGGAAUCUACUUUUUCGUGGGGGAUAACGUAGGGAAACUUACGCUAAUACCGCAUACGACCUACGUGUGAAAGCAGGGGAUCUUCUGACCUUGCGCGAUUGAAUGAGCCGAUGUCGGAUUAGCUAGUUGGCGGGGUAAAGGCCCAACCAGGCGACGAUCCGUAGCUGGUCUGAGAGGAUGAUCAGCAACACUGGAAGUGAGAAACGGUCCAGACUCCUACGGGAGGAAGCAGUGGGGAAUAUUGGACAAUGGGGGAAAGCCUGAUCCAGCCAUACGGCGUGGGUGAAGAAGGCGUUAGGGUGGUAAAGCCCUUUUGUUGGGAAAGAAAAGAAGCAGGUUAAUACCCCGCUGUUCUGACGGUACCCAAAGAAUAAGCACCGGCUAACUUCGUG
RNAcentral lists this ribosomal RNA (492 nucleotides) under uncultured bacterium. RNAcentral describes it as "partial 16S ribosomal RNA". It matches the Rfam family "Bacterial small subunit ribosomal RNA", at positions 29 to 507 of the family's 1533-position model. The record is from RNAcentral.